GAUGAACGCUGGCGGCGUGCUUAACACAUGCAAGUCGAACGGUGAAGCAGAGCUUGCUCUGUGGAUCAGUGGCGAACGGGUGAGUAACACGUGAGCAACCUGCCCCUGACUCUGGGAUAAGCGCUGGAAACGGCGUCUAAAACUGGAUAUGAGCUGCGACCGCAUGGUCAGCAGUUGGAAAGAUUUUUCGGUCUGGGAUGGGCUCACGGCCUAUCAGCUUGUUGGUGAGGUAAUGGCUCACCAAGGCGUCGACGGGUAGCCGGCCUGAGAGGGUGACCGGCCACACUGGGACUGAGACACGGCCCAGACUCCUACGGGAGGCAGCAGUGGGGAAUAUUGCACAAUGGGCGAAAGCCUGAUGCAGCAACGCCGCGUGAGGGAUGACGGCCUUCGGGUUGUAAACCUCUUUUAGCAGGGAAGAAGCGAAAGUGACGGUACCUGCAGAAAAAGCGCCGGCUAACUACGUG
RNAcentral lists this ribosomal RNA (467 nucleotides) under uncultured bacterium. RNAcentral describes it as "partial 16S ribosomal RNA". It matches the Rfam family "Bacterial small subunit ribosomal RNA", at positions 28 to 507 of the family's 1533-position model. The record is from RNAcentral.